Molecule: Y RNA, 113 nt
Organism: Monodelphis domestica (gray short-tailed opossum)
Lineage: Eukaryota; Metazoa; Chordata; Mammalia; Didelphimorphia; Didelphidae
Rfam family: Y RNA
About the family: Y RNAs are components of the Ro ribonucleoprotein particle (Ro RNP), in association with Ro60 and La proteins. The Y RNAs and Ro60 and La proteins are well conserved, but the function of the Ro RNP is not known.
Source: Ensembl
GGCUGACCCCAAGGUAAUGAGUUAUCUCAAUUAAUUGUUCACAGUCAGUUACAGCUCAGUCUCCUUGUUCUCUCUUUUCUUUUUUUCUCACUACUGUACUCAACUAGUCUCAA